UGUCUUCAAAGUCCAUCCGGUGGGUAGACCGGAAGUUGCAUAUUGUGCGCCGGAAAUGCCCUGCGCGUGUAGCGGCCUGCGGUAACGAGGAGAUAUACGCUGUGACGGAACGCCGGUUUGGUAAUCGCUGUGUCACCGCGAUGAACGCGGCGCAGAGGAAGCGGAAGAGAGAGUUGUCUGAGGAGGUCAGGAUGAAAAUCAUAGACCAGCACAUCAAAGGCAAAGGCUACAAGACCAUCUCCAAGCAGCUGGAGGUCCCUGUGACCACGGUGGCCAACAUUGUCAGGAAGGUGAAGGACCACGGCAGCGUGGCCAACCUCCCCGGGCGUGGCCGCAAGAAGAAGAUCGACCCCGGCUUGAUCGGAAGGAUUGAGCAAAUGGUAGACAAAGAGCCAAAGAAAACCUCUAAAGAGAUACAAGCUGAACUCCAAGGACAGGGUGCGUCUGUGUCUGACCGCACUAUCCGCCGCUUCUUGAACGAGAGCGGGCUCAAAGGAAGGGGUCCUAGAAGGAAAGAGAAACCUAAAAAAACAGACGAGGCAAAAUGAGCUUUUAGGAAAGUUCCCAUCAGCUCUGUGUUCACAUAUUUAUUUUAUUAUUAGAGGACCACCCUACCAACUGUGAAACAUGGCGAAAGCUUGGCUUUGUGGCUGAUUUGCUGUUCCUUGAGCCUGCUGGUUAUGAUGAAAUCAAGACGAUGCAGCGAAUGCCUGCGCUAAUCCUAACACUGUGGGAGAAGAAGAAGCUUAACGUAACAAUUUAACGAGAUAUUGAGACAAUGUAAUAUUUAUAAUGAUGAGAUAAAACUUGGACCGUCUUCGGGGGGAAAAAAAGGCAGGAAAGCAAGAAUGGCCAAUGCUGUAUGCGUGUUACUGAAAAUGAAAGGCGUGGCUAUGGCGAAAGUCGUCCAAUGGGAUGCUGAGAGGAAACGAUUAUUGGAACAGUGGAAGUCUGGACUGCCCACACCUGAAGGGAAGAAUGUCGGAAGAAACCGUACCCGGUCAUGGUUCAGGUUUCUAUGGAGUCGUCCUCGGGUGCCAUCUUCCUGGGAUGGAUGUGAUGAGAGGAGGACUCGGCGCCGCCUUGUUUCUGGCAAAGCGCCAGGUGAACACGGUGGAGGUCUGGACUGCCCACACCUGAAGGGAAAAAUGUCAGAAGGAAAUGGAUGAAACCGUACCCGCUCAUUAUUCAGAUUUCUAUGGAGUCCUCGGGUGCCGUCUCCCUGAGAUGGAUGUGAUGAGGACUCGGCACCUUGUGAACAUGGCCGACGUUUCAUACAAAGGUGGAGGUCUGGACUGCCCACACCUGAAGGGAAAAAUGUCGGAAGGAAAUGGAUGAAACCGUACCCGCUCAUUAUUCAGAUUUCUAUGGAGUCGUCCUCGGGUGCCGUCUCCCUGAGAUGGAUGUGAUGAGAGGAGGACUCGGCGCCUUGUGAACAUGGCCGACAUUUCAUACAAAGGUGGAAGUCUGGCCUGCCCACACCUGAAGGGAAAAAUGUCGGAAGGAAAUGGAUGAAACCGUACCCGCUCAUUAUUCAGAUUUCUAUGGAGUCCUCGGGUUCCGUCUCCCUGAGAUGGAUGUGAUGAGAAGAGGACUCGGCACCGUGUGAACAUGGCCGACAUUUCAUACAAAGGGUUGGCGGAAGUGAUGGUCUUUGUCUGAAGAACAAGAAGUAAAAAGUUAAUUUUGAUGUUCAGAAUAAAGUUGAUUUUCAAAGUUGA
Long non-coding RNA from Rana temporaria (common frog), 1721 nucleotides. RefSeq lists it as uncharacterized. The transcript has 7 exons. The record is from RefSeq and is a predicted model, not a curated record. NCBI's taxonomy places the organism in Eukaryota, Metazoa, Chordata, Amphibia, Anura, Ranidae.